This 498-nucleotide ribosomal RNA is filed under the name uncultured bacterium. Its description in RNAcentral is "partial 16S ribosomal RNA". It matches the Rfam family "Bacterial small subunit ribosomal RNA", at positions 27 to 507 of the family's 1533-position model. The record is from RNAcentral.
GGAUGAACGCUGGCGGCGUGCCUAAUACAUGCACGUCGAGCGAACAGACGAGGAGCUUGCUCCUCUGACGUUAGCGGCGGACGGGUGAGUAACACGUGGAUAACCUACCUAUAAGACUGGGAUAACUUCGGGAAACCGGAGCUAAUACCGGAUAAUAUAUUGAACCGCAUGGUUCAAUAGUGAAAGACGGUUUUGCUGUCACUUAUAGAUGGAUCCGCGCCGCAUUAGCUAGUUGGUAAGGUAACGGCUUACCAAGGCAACGAUGCGUAGCCGACCUGAGAGGGUGAUCGGCCACACUGGAACUGAGACACGGUCCAGACUCCUACGGGAGGCAGCAGUAGGGAAUCUUCCGCAAUGGGCGAAAGCCUGACGGAGCAACGCCGCGUGAGUGAUGAAGGUCUUCGGAUCGUAAAACUCUGUUAUUAGGGAAGAACAAAUGUGUAAGUAACUAUGCACGUCUUGACGGUACCUAAUCAGAAAGCCACGGCUAACUACGUG